UACAGAGGGUGCAAGCGUUAAUCGGAAUUACUGGGCGUAAAGCGCACGUAGGCGGCGAUUUAAGUCAGAGGUGAAAGCCCGGGGCUCAACCCCGGAAUAGCCUUUGAGACUGGAUUGCUUGAACAUCGGAGAGGUGAGUGGAAUUCCGAGUGUAGAGGUGAAAUUCGUAGAUAUUCGGAAGAACACCAGUGGCGAAGGCGGCUCACUGGACCGGCAUUGACGCUGAGGUGCGAAAGCGUGGGGAGCAAACAGGAUUAGAAACCCGGGUAGU
This 271-nucleotide ribosomal RNA is filed under the name uncultured bacterium. Its description in RNAcentral is "partial 16S ribosomal RNA". It matches the Rfam family "Bacterial small subunit ribosomal RNA", at positions 524 to 794 of the family's 1533-position model. The record is from RNAcentral.